Molecule: ribosomal RNA, 253 nt
Filed under: uncultured bacterium
Lineage: Bacteria
Description: partial 16S ribosomal RNA
Rfam family: Bacterial small subunit ribosomal RNA
Source: RNAcentral
UACGUAGGGUGCAAGCGUUGUCCGGAAUUAUUGGGCGUAAAGAGCUCGUAGGCGGUCUGUCGCGUCGGAUGUGAAAAUCCAGGGCUCAGCCCUGGACCUGCAUUCGAUACGGGCAGACUAGAGUUCGGUAGGGGAGACUGGAAUUCCUGGUGUAGCGGUGAAAUGCGCAGAUAUCAGGAGGAACACCGGUGGCGAAGGCGGGUCUCUGGGCCGAAACUGACGCUGAGGAGCGAAAGCGUGGGGAGCAAACAGG